Non-coding RNA from Camellia sinensis, 4231 nucleotides. The record is from RefSeq and is a predicted model, not a curated record. NCBI's taxonomy places the organism in Eukaryota, Viridiplantae, Streptophyta, Magnoliopsida, Ericales, Theaceae.
ACACACACACACACACAAUCAAUUCCCAAAUUAAACCCUAACACACCCACCCCUUAUCUCACCAUAUUCAACAUUUGUCUCACACUCGUCUUUUGCUCCUCCACUACGCCGAUCACCAUCGCCGUUACCUCUAGUAGCCUUGCUGGUCGCCACCGCUGUUAGUAGCCUUGCCAAUCUCUACACUCUUCUGUAUUGAACGAUUCGACCUCUCUGCAAUCUCUCUUUCUCUCUCUGCACCAUCAUCACCGCCUUCAUCUCUCUCUUCCUGGUACGUGUAGGCAAGAAAUUAAGUUGCUGACGUGUUAAUGAAUUAUUGUGGAAGACAAAUUUGUCUAUAAAGAGAAGAACCAAGAAAUAGAAAAGGCAGUGAGCGAAUUUAGGAAAGCCAUAAACGAAUUGGCAAAAGUGAUGAUUUUAUUUAUUGUUCUACUUUUGUGAUGAGGUAAUCAAAAUGAAUCUGAAAGUUGUGGACUAUUUUAGAAGGGCCAGGUUAUAUUCUUUCUUCUUCUUUUGUUUUUUGUUAAUUAUUUUUAUUGAUGGUGAGGUUAGUACCUAUUGCUGCGUAUUAACUUUUUUGCUUGUUCUUUGUGUCCUCUAAAUUACUUCUUUUUGAAAACCUUUUACUAUACUUGCAAAUUCUCAAUUUUGCUUCUCAUGACUGUAAAUUUUUAAUUUUUUUUCGUUGUUCAUGGUCAAUCAAAGACUCACAACUUUGGUAUGAAUUAUGGCAUUUCUUGCACAGUUUGGUUUUUUUACUUGCCUUCUUUGAGGCAUUUACUUUAAAAGUUGAGGCAUUUACGUUUUCAGAGAUCACUCUUCUGUAUUGUUUACUUUUUGCCUUCCUAAUAAAUAUGUGAUUAUGCUUUAUAUUGAGCACAUUUACAUUGCCAAAAACGUGUUGGUACUUCUUUUCUCUGUUUCUUAUUUAGAUAAUUCUGAUUGUUAACUGGAUAAUUUCUUACCUUUUCAUUCAAUUCUGUUUUGCUGACAGUGCUUUGAGUUUUCGUGAUAUACCAUUUCUCAUAAGUAUGACUAUGUUUCAUGAUCUUGUUGUUAUGAUCUCAGGAUUAGACACUGAAUGUGUGUCCAGCUCAGAAGCUAAGAACUAUUAGUUUCUUUGCUUUACUGUGCUAGCUGUCAAUAAUCACAACAAAAAAAUUAAUUUUUUUUGGAACUGCUGGAUGUUUUUGGGUUUUGCUUUUGUUUUUCUGUGUUAUCUUUAGGAUAGUAUACUUUGUUUGGUAAAUAUUUCUUCUUUUUACAGAUCAGUGAGUAUUCAAAGAAGAAUGUUUGUUUCAUCAUGUUUUUAGAUAAGCAAACACUGUUGAAACUGUCAACAGAGGGGAAUGUUCUUGAUGAGAGAGUAUGUAUUGGGUUAUGGAGAAUAGUUAUUGUGAGGAACCUACCCUACAAGGAUAUGCUCAAAACUGGGAAGGUGCCAAAAUUUCUAUCACAUCGUCUCUUCCCUUCUUCUAGGUAUUCUAUUUGGCUUGAUAGCAAGAUGCGACUUCAGACUGAUCCGAUGCUAAUCAUUGAAUUCUUUUUGUGGCAAACUAGAUUAGAGUAUGCUAUUUCAAAUCAUUAUACUCGCCACUGUGUUUGGAUGGAGGUACACCAGAAUAACCGUCUAAAUAAAUGCAACCACACAGCCAUUGAUGAACAGUUCAACUUUUACUAGUCUGAUGGUCUCACCAAGUUUGACCCUUCAGUCCUAAAUACUCUUCUUCCAAGUUGUGCGUGUCAUUGUCUUUUUUUAUUUUGGAGUUUGCCUUUUCCUUAUCCGCAAUUAUUGCCCCUUGCUGCUUAAGUGCUUAUUUUUGUUUGUCAUAUGCUUUGCACUUUGCAGAUGUGCCUGAAGGUUCAUUUAUUGUUAGGCCCAUACACCGAUGUCAAAUUUAUUUUAAUGCCUUUGGUUUAAUGAAGUUAAUUAUUUUACAUCAUGUGAUCAAUUGAGCUUUGCUUAUACCUUGAAGUUGAAGAGAUCGAAUCCAAAAAGGCCAUUCUUUCUAAAUAUGUUCAAGGUGGGUAAUUACUAAAAUAAAAUUAUUCUUUCCAUUACAUUGUGCUUCAGGGACUGUAAUUUACCUAUACUAGGAGAGUAAUGUGGGAGGCUGAUAAACUAGUUGGAAUUUCUAAAUAAAGAAAUAGUGCCCUUACUAUUAACUUGUUCCUUCAAUCUGCUCAUAUUUAUUGACCUUAAAAACCAUACAUUUUAGGUGUUAGCCUCCAAGUGUUCUGCACUUGGCUGGUUAGUUAAACGAAUUUUCAUAAUAUCACUCUUUGAUCAGAAUUUCAGAAUGCUUUUCUGGAUCAUUUGUUUGUUUAUUUUUUAUUUUUAUUGCAUUGACAAUUCAAAUUAAUGUGGCUAGAACAGAUGUGUACUAAAAUAAGGCAUUUUGAUUCCAUCAAACCUUGGAGGUGGUGCAUUUAUUGGACGCAUGCUAGAUGAGGCCUUGUAUAAGGUUUAUUUCAUGUUUGGCCACAAUUGCCUUACGUGUUCUGUUUGUUAUGAUAAAGGAUAUGGACAUAUGACCCAUCAACUCCAACAACAAGAAAUGCGACCAUCUACUGUGGAUCAGAGAUCAUGUCAGUUGAGUGGGAUUGUAAAUCAGACUAUUUGGUAUUUAAUUCAACAUCAUAUGAGUGGGAUUGUAAAUCAGACCGUUUGGUAUUUAAUUCAACAUCAUAUGAACAUGUUUUAUUCAUUUUCAUGUUGGAGGAUGAUGUUUGAUUGUCUAAUACCAGAAAUUCAUGUUUGUAGCUCUUGUUUGCCUUCUUCCUUGAGCCAUUACCACUUAAAGCUUAUGUCCCUUGGAACCUGAGGAAGUUUAUUUAGCUUUCUUUGAUUGCUUGAACUGAAAUAUUAAUCAAGUUUUAUCUAGGGAUUUAUGUUUGAGGUCAUUUCAAGGCUUGAGAAGGAGAAUGAAUCUCUUUGCUAAGUUGAGUGCUUAUACAGGACAUUAUAUAUAUUGACUGAUCAUAAUUGUUGCCUUAUGUCUUUCUGAUAUGCCUACUUACUGAUGGAUUUUGCUUGAUUAAAAAGUUCAAUGCACAUGUUUGCUAUUAUUUAUUUGAAUUAAUGCAGGAGAUUCUUUGACUGACACUGUAUGGUAUGUAUCUUUCCUGUAACUAAAUCUAUUUCUCCAUUGUACUGUAUAUUUUUGUCCUUUAAGUACUAUUGUAGUUAGUUAAAUUAUGUCUAUUGAGUUGCAGCGUUUAUGUAACUUACUCACACCAAUCCCCAUCUUUAAUCAAUGUUUUUAGAUGUUAUCAUCAUACUUGUUUAUUAUUUAUGUUUUUGGAAUAUGAAUCAUUCUUAGGACCUAGUUUUUUUUAUAGGCAUGGCACGAGUUAUAUGGAUAAGUUGGGAUUUGUAAGCUUAAUUGUAUGGAACAUGAAAACAUGGAAGGCUAUGGUAUGCCCUUGUGUGUCCCACAAAUUGUACAUUAAUGUAGAAAGUCAAUUUGUCUCUGACAGACAUCUAUUAUGUCUUAAUAUUUCUCAACUUUAUUGAAGACAGUCCUUCCCCUUGGUGAAGAUCCUCCAGCAAUUACUUCCUUAUGCUUCAACCAUAACGGGAAGAUUUUAGCAGCUGUUGCAACUGAUGGAAUGAUUCACAUGUUCGGCUCAAAUGCGUUGCUAUUACUAUUCUUUGGUACACCAAGUAAAAAUACAUGAAAAAGGAAUCAUUUUCUUUCUUUUGGGGCUUUAGAGUUGGAGGGAGGAAGAGGGGAUUAAACAUUUCUACUUUGAAAGGAAACUUGUCCCCAAUCUCAUGCUGCACGCAAGACAUGAGCAACAAAUGUAUACAUCUUAAUUUGGCAAAGAUAUGUCUGCCGGAUUACAAAUUACUGGGUGGCCAGCUCAUGAUUCUGCUAUUAGCUCUGUUCUUUUUGGGCCUGAUGAGACAAGUAUUUUUAGCUUGGAGAUAGAUGGAAAGGCAAGUGCCUCUGAUUCCUCUGAUUUUAGCUCGGGAAAUUAUAAUAUUUUGUUUCUAUGAAUUGAUUUAUAUAAUUUUUCUUUGCCUAAAAGUUUUUUCUGUGAUAUGUACAUGCUGUCAGGCUUCUUAUACUUGUGACUUGUUCAAUUGUAGGUACCUUUGGAUAUUAUUAGUCAUUGAUCUAACGUUGAUGAUUGUAUACUUGCUUGAUCCGAUUAAUUCUAAAAUAAACACAAGCCUUGAAAUUGUAAUAAACACAUAAGUUUGGCUAGUUAGUACAUUUUUAAGCAA